This 508-nucleotide ribosomal RNA is filed under the name uncultured bacterium. Its description in RNAcentral is "bacterial SSU rRNA". It matches the Rfam family "Bacterial small subunit ribosomal RNA", at positions 8 to 507 of the family's 1533-position model. The record is from RNAcentral.
AGAGUUUGAUCCUGGCUCAGAUUGAACGCUGGCGGCAGGCCUAACACAUGCAAGUCGAACGGUAACAGGAAGAAGCUUGCUCUUUGCUGACGAGUGGCGGACGGGUGAGUAAUGUCUGGGAAACUGCCUGAUGAGGGGGAUAACUACUGGAAACGGUAGCUAAUACCGCAUAACGUCGCAAGACCAAAAAGGGGGACCUUCGGGCCUCUUGCCAUCGGAUGUGCCCAGAUGGGAUUAGCUAGUAGGUGGGGUAACGGCUCACCUAGGCGACGAUCCCUAGCUGGUCUGAGAGGAUGACCAGCCACACUGGAACUGAGACACGGUCCAGACUCCUACGGGAGGCAGCAGUGGGGAAUAUUGCAUAAUGGGCGCAAGCCUGAUGCAGCCAUGCCGCGUGUAUGAAGAAGGCCUUCGGGUUGUAAAGUACUUUCAGCGGGGAGGAAGGGAGUAAAGUUAAUACCUUUGCUCAUUGACGUUACCCGCAGAAGAAGCACCGGCUAACUCCGUG